Molecule: long non-coding RNA, 1055 nt
Filed under: Pongo abelii (Sumatran orangutan)
Lineage: Eukaryota; Metazoa; Chordata; Mammalia; Primates; Hominidae
Description: lincRNA
Source: RNAcentral
AGUCAGUGAAACGGCAGAAUCAGAAGAGGUUCCACAACCAGAAAAUCUUGGCUGGAAUUUCACCAUCAGGAAUAAAACAGAAAAACUAAAGAGUGCCCCAGAUAGCCUUUCUUAGGGGCCUGUGUCAGGUCGCAGGAAUCUUGUUGGUGAUCCAUCCAGACGUUGUGUGUUCUGGAAGUGGACAUCGCGGCUCUGUGUUUUUGAAGUCAGAUUUCAUUGCUGUGGUUUCUAUGCCUGACCCCCGAAGUUCUUGCUCCUGUUGCCACAGGGAGCCGGGAGAGCACAGAGCGCUGCUCCCAGUGCCCUGCAGCCACACAAACAUGCUCCUGCUCCUGGCGGAGCCAGAGCUGCUGGGAAAGACAUUUCGGAAGUUUCCUGUGGCUGCAACAAAUUGUUCAAAUCUGCACUGGAGCACCGCUGUGACCUGUCUUUCUCCAUCUUAGGGCAACCAGCUCCUGAAACUGGAAACUCCCCAGCACCUCCUCACCCUACCCCACAGGCUCUCCUUGUGAGGAUGGGGUGGGGGGAGUUGUCUGGAAUGCCUGGCCUCUCUGUCCAAGCAUGGCAGCCUUGCCCCAUGGGUGGCGCAGACUCAGUUUCCCAUGCACCUUGCCCCAGGGAGGAGGUGGGGGCUCCUUCCAUAGAGAUGGUGAAGAAUAAGGGAGGUAGUGAUCGUCUCUGGGAUCCAGUUAGAUCUGCGUUUGCAGGCAGAAAGAGGCUGAGGCACAUGGAGAGAGUGAUCAACUGGAAGAUUCUAGGGUCCUCAAUUUUGAAAGGUGACAUGAUACCCUGGAAAGGGCAUGAACUUAGUUGUCAGUUCGUCCUUGCCUUUUCCAAUCAAUGCUGUGUGGCCACAGCAAAUUAAUGAACGUCUCUGAGUUUCGGUCUCCUGUCUAAAUGAGGUGAUAAUAGCUUCUUGAAGGUUGUGAGGCCCUGAACAUGCUGCCUGGCACAUAGAUGGCUAAUCAAUAUUUUCCUACCCUCCCCUUCCUUCCCUUCUCUGAAGUUGCUACCUCUCUCCUCCUGGGGUCUUGCAAAUAAACUUCUGAAUUAAA